This 996-nucleotide ribosomal RNA is filed under the name Salmonella enterica. RNAcentral describes it as "partial 23S ribosomal RNA". It matches the Rfam family "Bacterial large subunit ribosomal RNA", at positions 681 to 1590 of the family's 2925-position model. Lineage: Bacteria; Pseudomonadati; Pseudomonadota; Gammaproteobacteria; Enterobacterales; Enterobacteriaceae. The record is from RNAcentral.
GUCUUAACCGGGCGUUAAGUUGCAGGGUAUAGACCCGAAACCCGGUGAUCUAGCCAUGGGCAGGUUGAAGGUUGGGUAACACUAACUGGAGGACCGAACCGACUAAUGUUGAAAAAUUAGCGGAUGACCUGUGGCUGGGGGUGAAAGGCCAAUCAAACCGGGAGAUAGCUGGUUCUCCCCGAAAGCUAUUUAGGUAGCGCCUCGUGAACUCAUCUCCGGGGGUAGAGCACUGUUUCGGCUAGGGGGCCAUCCCGGCUUACCAACCCGAUGCAAACUGCGAAUACCGGAGAAUGUUAUCACGGGAGACACACGGCGGGUGCUAACGUCCGUCGUGAAGAGGGAAACAACCCAGACCGCCAGCUAAGGUCCCAAAGUCAUGGUUAAGUGGGAAACGAUGUGGGAAGGCCCAGACAGCCAGGAUGUUGGCUUAGAAGCAGCCAUCAUUUAAAGAAAGCGUAAUAGCUCACUGGUCGAGUCGGCCUGCGCGGAAGAUGUAACGGGGCUAAACCAUGCACCGAAGCUGCGGCAGCGAACGUAUCACCCAAGACAACUUUACGGAGUUGACGAUUGACGGAGCGAAGCGACGUCAAAGCGUUCAUUAAAGUCGAGUUGGCUUAGGGAUACGUUCGUUGGGUAGGGGAGCGUUCUGUAAGCCUGUGAAGGUGGCCUGUGAGGGUUGCUGGAGGUAUCAGAAGUGCGAAUGCUGACAUAAGUAACGAUAAUGCGGGUGAAAAACCCGCACGCCGGAAGACCAAGGGUUCCUGUCCAACGUUAAUCGGGGCAGGGUGAGUCGACCCCUAAGGCGAGGCCGAAAGGCGUAGUCGAUGGGAAACAGGUUAAUAUUCCUGUACUUGGUGUUACUGCGAAGGGGGGACGGAGAAGGCUAUGUUAGCCGGGCGACGGUUGUCCCGGUUUAAGCAUGUAGGCGGAGGUUCCAGGUAAAUCCGGUACCUUAUUAACGCUGAGGUGUGAUGACGAGGCACUACGGUGCUGAAG